CCUACGGGAGGCAGCAGUGGGGAGUUUUGCGCAAUGGGGGAAACCCUGACGCAGCAACGCCGCGUGAGUGAUGAAGGCCUUCGGGUUGUAAAACUCUUUUAGUGGGGAAGAAACACCUUGGGGCUAAUAUCCCCAGGGCUUGACGGUACCCACAGAAAAAGUUCCGGCUAACUACGUGCCAGCAGCCGCGGUAAU
Molecule: ribosomal RNA, 195 nt
Filed under: uncultured bacterium
Lineage: Bacteria
Description: partial 16S ribosomal RNA
Rfam family: Bacterial small subunit ribosomal RNA
Source: RNAcentral